Molecule: ribosomal RNA, 763 nt
Filed under: uncultured bacterium
Lineage: Bacteria
Description: bacterial SSU rRNA
Rfam family: Bacterial small subunit ribosomal RNA
Source: RNAcentral
AGAGUUUGAUCCUGGCUCAGGAUUAACGCUUGCGGUGUGCUUUAUGCAUGCAAGUCGAACGGUUCUUCGCAAGAAGGACAGUGGCGAACGGGUGCGUAACACGUAAGUGACCUGCCCUCAAGUGGGGAAUAAUCCUUCGGAAGAAGGACUAAUACCGCAUGUGGUCCUUCCCGUAAGGGGAAGGACUAAAGUCGUAAGGCGCUUGAGGAGGGGCUUGCGUCCGAUUAGCUAGUUGGUAGGGUAACGGCCUACCAAGGCGAUGAUCGGUAGCUGGUCUGAGAGGAUGACCAGCCACACUGGGACUGAGACACGGCCCAGACUCCUACGGGAGGCAGCAGCAAGGAAUAUUGCGCAAUGGGCGAAGGCCUGACGCAGCGACACCGCGUGGGGGAUGAAGGCCCUCGGGUCGUAAACCCCUUUUCUUAGGGAAGAAUAAUGACGGUACCUGAGGAAUAAGUCGCUGCUAACUACGUGCCAGCAGCAGCGGUAAUACGUAGGCGACGAGCGUUAUCCGGAUUUAUUGGGCGUAAAGCGCGUGUAGGUGGCUUUUCAAGUCGGAUGUGAAAUCUCCCGGCUUAACUGGGAGGAGUCAUUCGAUACUGUUAGGCUAGAGGGCAGCAGAGGGAGGUGGAAUUCCCGGUGUAGUGGUGAAAUGCGUAGAUAUCGGGAGGAACACCAGUGGCGAAAGCGACCUCCUAGGCUGUUCCUGACGCUGAGGCGCGAAAGCGUGGGGAGCAAACACGAUUAGAUACCCUGGUAGUCC